GCGAGUGAAGCGGGAAGAGCUCAAGCUUGAAAUCUGAGGCGCUUGCGUCCACAGAAUUGUAGUUGAGAGAAGUGCUUUCACCGGGACGAGCGAUGGCCUAAGUUGCUUGGAACAGCACGUCAUAGAGGGUGAGAAUCCCGUCUGUGGUUGGUCGGUCCCUCGGAACGAUGCACUUUCAAAGAGUCGGGUUGUUUGGGAAUGCAGCCCAAAAUGGGUGGUAAACUCCAUCUAAAGCUAAAUAUUGCCACGAGACCGAUAGCGAACAAGUACCGUGAGGGAAAGAUGAAAAGCACUUUGAAAAGAGAGUUAAAAGCACGUGAAACCGUUGAAAGGGAAACGCGCUCGGCUAGCAAUGUGCGUCUGUGAUUCAGCCGGCUAGUCUUGUCGAGUUGCCGUGUGGCGGAUCCGAAUGGACUGUCCGCGGCAGCGGCGGUGGGCGAGCUAUGGUGCACUUCAUGGACGCGCGCGUCAGCGUCGGUUCUCGACGGACGAUAAGGUGCGUGGGAAAGGUAGCUCGGUCUUCGGACGGAGUGUUAUAGGCCCGUGCGCUGGGUUCGUCGUGGGACCGAGGAGAGAGAUGAUCGCUGCGGCACCUGCCUCUCGGGGCUAGCCAGCUGUUUGCCAGGUGUGCGCCAGGCGCCGAGGACUGCACGCAGUGCUUGGUGUUGAGGUGUGAUCUGGCGGUGGUGUGGGUAUAGAGGUGCCUAGGACGCUGGCGUCCAAAUG
This 726-nucleotide ribosomal RNA is filed under the name Leucosolenida sp. 10 JV-2020. RNAcentral's name for it is "partial large subunit ribosomal RNA". It matches the Rfam family "Eukaryotic large subunit ribosomal RNA", at positions 89 to 636 of the family's 3401-position model. Lineage: Eukaryota; Metazoa; Porifera; Calcarea; Leucosolenida. The record is from RNAcentral.